ACGAUGAACCAGACCGCCGCCCGGCGCUUGUUUUUAUGAGUGGCCGGGAGGAAAGUCCGGGCUCCGCAGGGCAUGAUGCCGGGUAACGCCCGGGCGGAAGGCCGCAAGGCUUUUCGACAGACAGCGCAACAGAAAAUAUACCGCCUGACCGCAUAAUCUUUGAUUAUGUGGUCAGGUAAGGGUGAAAUGGCAGGUUAAGAGCCUCCCGCGGCGGCGGCGACGCCGCCGGCAUGGCAAGCCUCAUCAGGAGCAAAGUCAAGCAGCGGCGUGUACGGCUUGCCGUACACGAUGCAGCUGGCAAAGCCAGCCGCGCCGGCGGCCCGCCGGUUAAACGCGGGUAGACUGCAUUGAAGAAGCCGGCAACGGCCUAUCAAGACAGAUGGCGGUACGCCAGCCGUAAAAAGCUGGUGACAGAACCCGGCUUAUGGUUCAUCGUUUUU
RNAcentral lists this RNase P RNA (440 nucleotides) under Treponema sp. RNAcentral's name for it is "RNase P RNA component class A". It matches the Rfam family "Bacterial RNase P class A". From Rfam's summary of the family: Ribonuclease P (RNase P) is a ubiquitous endoribonuclease, found in archaea, bacteria and eukarya as well as chloroplasts and mitochondria. Lineage: Bacteria; Pseudomonadati; Spirochaetota; Spirochaetia; Treponematales; Treponemataceae. The record is from RNAcentral.